Molecule: long non-coding RNA, 393 nt
Filed under: Panax ginseng (ginseng)
Lineage: Eukaryota; Viridiplantae; Streptophyta; Magnoliopsida; Apiales; Araliaceae
Description: long non-coding RNA (PGIN_LNC016653)
Source: RNAcentral
GACGCAUCGUCGUCUCCAUUACCGGUGAAGGUUUACAGCUCACGUGACUUCUCCUAAAUUUCCGUACGUCGACGAGGCGGAAGGAGGCAUCGUCGUCUCCAUUACCGGUGAAGGAAUCAUCGCCAGUGAAGUCGAAGGCGGAGUCGGCAGGGUUAGAGCGCUUCUAGGGUUUAACCGGUCCCCAGCCGUCGGGGUUGAAGGGGACGGCGCCGAUUUCAAAACCUACCAUGUUGUUUUUCGAUCUGAUUGAGGUGAGAGAGUGAAGAUGAGUGAGAGAUAGGGGAGGGUGUAGAGAUUGGGAUUUGGGAGAGCAGAGAACUGCUUCAGAUGUUGGAAGCGAGGUUGGAAGGCUAGGAGAGAAAAAAUCAAAAAACUAUAGUCUUUUAAUUUUAA